Molecule: unclassified non-coding RNA, 359 nt
Filed under: Hevea brasiliensis (rubber tree)
Lineage: Eukaryota; Viridiplantae; Streptophyta; Magnoliopsida; Malpighiales; Euphorbiaceae
Source: RNAcentral
AAACAAUGAAGUUUACCCAAAAAGAACGUAGUCAAAAGAUGAUUGAAGAAGAAUCAUGGUAGAAGAUGCCACUGCAAGCUUAUACCCAAGAAUGUGAUUGGGAGUUUGAGACUGGCCAUAAAGGCAAUUGAAAAGCUAUGCAAAGUUAAUGAGAAAAACAGAAAAAGAGAGAAGAAAAACACCAUGGGAAACAUGCUUAGAAAUCAGAAGUCAACUCAAGAAAAUUAAAACCUCAUUUACUUUAACACUGGUCAGUCUUUUAAGAGUACAUCAUUAAUUAUAAACUUUCAGACUCUUCAAUGUUCUUCUAUGAUUGGGUCCCCAUUCUAAUGAAAAUUGUCCAAUGAGGAUCUUUGAAG